Hyaena hyaena (striped hyena) is the source of this 556-nucleotide long non-coding RNA. RefSeq lists it as uncharacterized. The transcript has 2 exons. The record is from RefSeq and is a predicted model, not a curated record. NCBI's taxonomy places the organism in Eukaryota, Metazoa, Chordata, Mammalia, Carnivora, Hyaenidae.
GGACGCCGACAAACCGUCCCGCCCGCUUUCCGGAAGGGGCCCCGGGCGAGUGCAGGCGGAAUUUAGACCCGCCGUCUCCGCCGCGGGACAGAAGUUCCCAUCCCGCUGGGCCAGGAGGAAGGGAACGCAGAGGACAGCAGCAGGGGACGCGGGUGUCCACAGGCUCCCUUCCUAGUCCUACGGGUUCAUAUGUGAGGACAAAUGAGAGUGUGCCCACCUGUGUUCAAGUUUUCUGACACGCGCUAAGGGACCAGGCGUGCGCUGCCAAUGAGACUUUCAAAAAGAGUCAAGUCCUUCGAGCCGGAUUCGAACCAGCGACCUAAGGAUGACCACAGCCACGCACCUACAGUCCUCCGCUCUACCAACUGAGCUAUCGAAGGCUUGACGGUAGGGCUCGUUAGAAUACCUUCAUGUUUCUCCCGCUGGCUUUGUUCGGACUGUUUUUAAAAUAUAAGUGAACGUGCAGGUUUUUUCUAGGGUGCUGGCAAUGUUCUAAAACGGAUGGGGUCGUGAUCAUAGAGUGUAUAUUAAAAAGUUGAUAUCCGUGAAAACUUAA